GAGAUUGACAGCUCCAACUUGUCCCUAUGGAUUGAGUAUGGCACCAUGUCCUAUGCCUUGCACUCAUUCGCCUCACGUCAAUUGAAGCAGUGGAGAGGCGAGCUGCCCCCUGAGCUCGUGCAGCAGAUGGAGGGCCGGCGCGACAGCAUGCUAGAGACAGCCAAGCACUGUUUCACAUCAGCAGCCCGCUGCGAGGGUGAUGGUGACGAGGAGGAGUGGCUCAUCCACUACAUGCUGGGCAAGGUGGCUGAGAAGCAGCAGCAGCCACCCACCGUUUACUUGCUGCACUACAGGCAGGCUGGCCACUACCUGCACGAGGAGGCUGCCCGCUACCCCAAGAAGAUCCACUACCACAACCCACCUGAGCUGGCCAUGGAGGCCCUGGAGGUGACACCAUGCUGGCCCAGGGCGGGGAAGCAGGGCAGGGGCAGGCUGGUUUCUUUAUCUCCCUGGGCAUGGGGCUCAAGGUUCCAGUGACCGUCCUUCAACCUGCCACAAACUUAUCUGUGUUGAGCAGCUUCAUGUGCAAUUGAAUUAAAACAUCAUUUCCUCUCUUU
This 557-nucleotide small RNA is filed under the name Pan troglodytes (chimpanzee). RNAcentral's name for it is "retained intron". The record is from RNAcentral. Lineage: Eukaryota; Metazoa; Chordata; Mammalia; Primates; Hominidae.